This 363-nucleotide long non-coding RNA is filed under the name Equus caballus (horse). Its description in RNAcentral is "lncRNA (ENSECAG00000055718.1)". Lineage: Eukaryota; Metazoa; Chordata; Mammalia; Perissodactyla; Equidae. The record is from RNAcentral.
AUCGGAUCUAAUAGCAGAUACAUUUUCCCAUAAAGGAGACACGCUGGGAUACUGACAAGGAGACCAGCAGGACCCCAGGACAAACUCCAGGCUGGGAGUUCGGAAAGGACAGCACUGUGGUCCAUUGUAGGAAAGUGGUUCCUGACUCUCCACUGCAGGAUCACAGUUGCUCAUUAAAAUGCAGAUUCCCGGGCUCCCGUUUAGACGUCUUGGAUAACAACCCGUGGAAGUGAGACCUGGAAUCUGCAUUUUUCAGGUCGCUUCACACCUCCGGACCUGUUUCCGAAACUGUGAGAGGAGGCGGGAGGAUGAUAGUAAAAUCUGCCUGCGGCACUCGACCGCCCCCCAGCGGUGAGAGCGAGC